AUGAUACUCAGUGUUUUCUUUUUAUUUGUCUGCGUUGCCCGAGUGCAGAAGCUCUUUGCCGCGGCCGCCGGCGAGUGGAUCCUCGUCACCAGCCCGACGCCGUUCAACCGCUGCGUGCUGCUGCGCUGCCCGUCCGUGUCCUUCGAGGACGGGGGCGUGCUGCUCGACGGCGUCAACGAGCGCCUGCUCACCCAGGACCGCCACUACGUCAACCUCAGCCGGGGCAGCAUCCCCGCCGCGCCCGCCGGGCAGGGCGCCGGCGAGGUCUCCUACCAGCGGCUCUGCAUCCCCCUCGAGGACGGCGGGGUGAUCGCGCUUGACUGGCCCGCUAACCUGGAUCUGGACAAGGAGCAUGGCCUUGAUUCCACGGUGCUCGUCGUGCCCGGCACCCCCAAGGGGAGCAUGGACAGGGGCAUCGAGAUGUUCGUGCUGGAUGCGCUCAAGAAUGGCUACUUCCCCAUUGUUAUGAACCCCAGAGGGUGCGGCGGAUCACCGGUUACUACGCCAAGGUUAUUUACAGCGGCUGACAGUGAUGACAUCUGCACAACGAUCCGCUUUAUAAACAGCAAAAGGCCAUGGACGACAAUAAUGGGUGUUGGGUGGGGUUAUGGUGCCAAUAUGCUGACAAAGUACCUUGUGGAAGCUGGAGAGUCUACUCCUCUUACGGCUGCUGUUUGUAUCGACAAUCCUUUUGACCUACAGGAAGCAACAAGAACAUUUCCUCAUAAUAUCGCUCUUGAUCAAAAGCUCACAGCUGGCUUGGUUGAUAUUCUGCGUGCCAAUAAGGAACUCUUUCAAGGAAAAGAUAAAGACUUUGAUGUCCAAAAGGCUUUAUCGGCGAACUGUUUGCGUGACUUUGAUGGAGCAAUAUCCAUGGUUUCACAUGGGUUUGCUAAUGUUGAUGACUUCUAUUCGGAAAAUAGCGUGAGGCCUUUAGUUGCCGGCGUGAAAAUACCUGUACUCUUUAUACAGAGUGAUGAUGGGACUGUGCCACUUUUGUCAGUACCGCGCAGUUCAAUAUCAGAAAAUCCUUUUACCAGCCUUCUCCUUUGUUCUUGUGUACACUCAACUGGAUUCACCUUUGAGAGAUACACUGAAUUAUGGUGCCAGAAUCUUACCCUGGAGUGGUUGUCAGCAGUGGAGUUUGCUCUUCUUAAGGGUCGUCGUCGUCAUCCGCUUAUCAAAGAUGUGGAUAUCACUGUUAACCCAUCCAAAGGUCUAGCAUUCACCGCACCUCAACCGAAUGAUAAGAAGGUCCCCAAAGAGGACAAUUUUCAUGAGCAAGCUCAGUUUUUUCUCUCUAAUAAUUUUCCCCAUGGAAUAAAUGGGCUGCUCAAUGAUUCUGCAAAUGAAUAUUAUGGUGCUCAAAACAGCGAAAAUGGGCUGCUCACUGAUUCUGCAAAUGGAUAUUCUGGUGCUCAAAACAGCGAAAAUGGGCUGCUCACUGAUUCUGCAAAUGGAUAUUCUGGUGCUCAAAACAGCAAAAAUGGGCUGCUCACUGAUUCUGCAAAUGGAUAUUCUGGUGCUCAAAACAGCGAAAACGGGCCGUUAAAAGAUAAUGGUGACGUAGGCAGGAUAAGCAAAGAGGCUGAUGAAGAGGAGCCAGAAGAGAUUCCUGAAGAUGUUGAAAAAGGUCAUGUACUACAAUCAGCAGGUCUUGUGGUGAAUAUGCUGGAUGCUACAAUGCCUGGCACUCUGGAUGAUGAUCAAAAGAAGAAGGUUAUGGUGGCAGUAGAACAAGGCGAAUCCCUUGUGAAAGCUCUAGAAGAAGCUGUACCUGAAGAUGUGCGUGGAAAGCUUACGUCGUCUGUGACUGAAAUUUUACAAUCUAAACGACACAAUUUCAAUUUGGAUGCAUUGAAGCGCGGCUGGACUAAUGCAAGAUCAACCACCAAGACAGUGGUCCAAGAAAAGGUCAAAGAGUCGGAUCAUGAGAGUGGAGUUAAGGAUGCCAAAAUUGUUGACCAGAACAGGAGUGUUACAUCCAUUGGUGAGGGAGACCAAAAAGAUACUAAUCUGACCUCAAACGACAACAAUCCUGCUGAAGGUAUUGAUUUAUCACAAUCAAAGCCUUACCAAGCUUCUGGACCUGUCGGAACUGGAAUCGAAACGGGAAAUGAUCAGAUUCAACUCGAUAAACCUGAGAGAGAUAGCUCUGGAGUGAAUGAAAGCAGUGAAGAGAAGCAAGAGGCCGAUCAGGGCAGUGUAACAGACCCAAAGCAUCUUUCUGAUGAUCCAUCAACAGCCAAUUCAAACGGAACUCCCAGAGAGCGAGUGCAGUCGGCAGAUGCUACAGCAGAGCAGAAUCCACAAUCCAAUAUGGUAGACAAGGAAGUCGAUGCAGUUCAUACCAAUGAAGAUAAGGUUGUACUUAAUGUUGUUGAUCAGAGCACGCAAAUCUCUAAAACAGAAGAAUCUAAACAUCCGUCAGUUAAUAAUGUGAGACAGGCAUUAGAUGCCUUAACUGAUUUUGAUGACUCGACUCAAAUGGCUGUCAAUAGUGUGUUCGGAGUUAUUGAAAAUAUGAUCGACCAGUUUCAAAAGCACAAGGACUCUGAGGACAGGGAGAAUUCUGAUGGAGCCACCGAUAAGCCUCCUGUGGAUGAGACAGAGUCUGAUGCGAUGGUGGAUGUGGACAAUGAUUUAAGUGGAAAGGACAAAAAUCCAUCAUCAUCUGGUGAAUCACAACAUAAUACUUCUGUUAAAGAUCGUCCGAUCAUGUCUGAAGAUCAUAAUUUUAGUGAGAAAAAAUCUGAUUUGAACACUGUUCCACCUUCGAAAGGAAAAAUCAGAAAUUCUCAAAGAAAUAUACCUGGAAAUGAUGUUGAUGGUGAUGUCGGGAAGAUGGUGAGUGUCUCACCUGAUUACUUGUUGGAUGUAGCUGCCAGUUCUUAUUUGAAGGUGCAGUAUGCUUUGUACCUUCAUGAAUAUCUUACAAGACAACUGCAACUUCAGUCACCAGGUUUGAACUCGGCAACUGAUCUUUUCCUUGAUCCGCAAGAGGGUAAAUGGAAACUAGCAGAUCAAAUGGACAAUGUGCAAGGUGACAUUUCUAUAUCUGGAAAAUAUAGCUUCGUCAAUGAAGGGAUCAAGCAUGCAGAUUCCUCGCAAGCUCCACCUAGGACAGGCAAUGUCAUUUUGCCACCAUACUCAGCUCUGCGAAAUUUUGCAGAUUCUGAAACCAAAAGGAAGGUAAUUGAGAAGUUGCCUGGUACUGCUUUGAGACAGACACUCACAUACUUUAUUACUGAUGAGUUAACAAAUACCCUCAAAACUGAAGUUGGUCGCAGACUGGGGAUAACAAAAGCUGAGAAACUUCAAAGAAGUCUUGCACAUGAUGUAGAACGACUCGCUACUCAAGUUUCUAGAACUAUUGUCCAUGACUCUGAGUUAUACAGAGCAACAUCUGUGCAGAGGAAUCCAACGACUGUGAAAUUUGGUGUGGUCCAUGGCGAAAAUGUUGUUGAAGCUGUAUCAACUGCAGUUCUGCAAUCUCAUGAUCUGAGAAAGGUUCUUCCAGUGGGUGUAAUAGUUGGUGUAACUUUAGCGUCCUUGAGAAACUACUUCCACGUUGGUGUCUCUAAGCAUGACAACCUUACAGAAGCUGCGGUCAAGUCAGGAAUUUUGGAUGAGGAUCUUAUUAUUCAGGAUGCCGGCGAAGGAAAUAUAGAUAAUCUUUCCACUCAGAAAGAAGCAAAUGCUGAUCUUUGCACACAAAAAGAAGCAAAUACAGAUUAUUAUAAAGAAAAACCCGGUGAGCACAAGCAACAGGAGAUAACAAAGUCAGAUGGUAAAGGCAUGAUGGUUGGGGCUGUAACGGCUGCCCUAGGUGCUUCUGCAUUCGUAGCACAUCAUCAACAAAAGAAUGCUGAAGAGCAUGAUAGCAUGGAUAGCACUCAGCAUAAUCUUGACGACACUGAACUGGAAAAGGGCCAGAACAACUUAGUGAGAAGCUUUGCUGAGAAAGCCAUGUCUGUUGCAGCUCCGGUGGUACCCAAGAAGGGUGGUGGUGAACUUGAUCACGAUAGGCUUGUUGCUGUUCUAGCUGAACUAGGGCAAAGAGGUGGAAUCUUGAAAUUUGUGGGGAAAAUUGCUCUACUCUGGGGAGGUAUUCGUGGUGCUAUGAGCUUGACUGACAGGCUCAUCUUGUUCUUACGUAUCAGCGAGCGUCCCUUAUUUCAGAGGAUUAUGGGAUUUUCCUUCAUGGUACUUGUUCUAUGGUCUCCUGUGGUGAUUCCUUUACUGCCAACUCUUGUUCAAAGCUGGACAAUAAGCGCUUCAACAGGAAUUGUUGGGGAUGCUUGCAUUGUUGGUCUGUAUGUCUCUAUAAUGAUACUUGUAAUGCUAUGGGGAAAAAGAAUACGUGGCUAUGAGGAUCCAGUUGAUCAAUAUGGAAUGAAUCUUGCAUCUUCAUCAAGGCUGCAAGAAUUUUUCCAAGGUCUUGUCGGAGGCGUGUCUGUCGUUUGGUUGGUGCAUUCGAUAAGCAUUUUACUUGGCUUUGCAACUUUUGGAGAAGGGACGCCUUCAUUCUUACCAUUUGAUCUUCUCAAAUCUUCAAGAAAUGUAUUGUUGCCAGCUCUUAGAGGGUUUAUCACAGCAACUAGCAUUUCUGUGGUGGAAGAAGUGGUUUUCAGAUCAUGGCUUCCAGAAGAAGUUGCAGUUGAUCUUGGUUACUACAAUGCUAUUCUGAUGUCUGGAGUUGCUUUUUCUCUGAUUCACCGGUCUCUACCUUCAGUACCAGGCUUCGUGCUACUUUCCCUGGUGCUUUUUGGGCUUAAGCAAAGAACGCAGGGGAAUCUUGCUGCACCGAUUGGCCUGCGAUCUGGAAUUAUGACUGCUAGUUAUCUCACACAAACCAGUCGCAUUAUUGCAUUCAAACCUGAAACUCCAUUCUGGAUGAUUAGUACAUAUCAUCUUCAUCCGUUUGAUGGUGCGAUUGGGUUAAGUAUUUGUGCAUUACUUGCGAUCCUUUUCUUCCCUCAGAGACCUGUUCAGAAGGAUACAUCUGCGUCAUGA
RNAcentral lists this ribosomal RNA (5016 nucleotides) under Triticum aestivum (bread wheat). RNAcentral describes it as "partial small subunit ribosomal RNA". The record is from RNAcentral. Lineage: Eukaryota; Viridiplantae; Streptophyta; Magnoliopsida; Poales; Poaceae.